CAGUAUUAUUUGUAUUUAAACCUGCUGCUAAGAAAUCGGAAUAAUAUCUAGAGUAAUCUAAUUCGCCUGGUUUAAAACUAACAUUAUAAUCCUCAAUAGGAUAUUUAUCAUUAUUAAUUCUAAGCCAACAUCUCAUCAUAUCGAGAUUAUCAAAUAUCAUGUUAUUUUGAUUUUGAUUAUUUUCUUUUUCCUGAUAUUGAGGAAUCACAAAAAUAUUUAGGAUUUCAUCAGUUGUUGUAUUUACAAUGAUAGUACCACUAGAACUAUUUUGAACAUUACUUUUAAUGAGUCUUGCUGAACACCAAUUAAUUUCAACAUCAGAUGCAGGAUUUAGAGACAUACUGUUAUAAUGAACUUGUGGUUCUGGAUUCAGUUUUACAUGAGGCAACCACAACGAAAUGUCAGAUAUAACUACUUUAUAGUCAGGAUUUUUUUCAUCGGUAUAUAACAUGUCAUUAUUUCCAUUUCUCCAAAACACAAAUCUAACAUCAAUGUUUGAGAUAAUUUUUUUAAAAUCAUUAAAGAAUCCAAACAGUUGUUUUAAUGGUAUCCACAAUUUAAUUUUAUUGCUGUUUUUGGUUAAAAUCCAUCUAUCUGUGAAUCCUUCAUUAUACGAUGCAUUCUUUUUUAAUCCAGCUAGAAGACUUUGCAUUUUAGCUUUUGUUCCAAGGCUCUGAUCAUCAGCUCCAUCAAAUAUUAAAAUCUGUUUAUCAGGUGAUUCCGAUGUAUCAAUAUAAAAGAACAUAUUUGUAGCUUCUGAGGCAGAAUAAUCUUUUGUAAAGUUUAUAAGUCCAUUAAUAUGGUGAACUAGUGAAGGUAAUUCUAUUUCUUCAAUUAAUGUUUUACCAAUAUGUAAUUCAGAUCUUAAAAAUAAAUUACCUGUAUUUACCAAGGUUACAUUAUCAUCCCCUAUAGAGGAUCCAUCUUGUUUUGUAAUUUUUAAUUCUGGACAGAUAUAGCCACUAGAAUAUAAAAUAUUAUCAUUUACAUCUUUAAUAUUAAAUUCAUAUUUUGCAGAUUCUUUUUCUUCGAUAACAACCUUAUCUUCUCUAUGCUGUUUAUAGUCAAAACUUUCAAUUUCAUUUUUAUAAUAAUUUGGAAUGGUUGUCAAAUCCCAAAUCUUCUCCAUUUAUUAAGAUAAAAAUUUUUUUAAUCCUGUUCCAUAUUGACUCUGCAUCGUAGAGGGUUUUGAUAAUAUUUCAUUCAUUGUUUUUAUAGCAGGAGUCUUUUUUGAUAAAAUUUUCUCAAUUUUACUUUUUACAAAAUCUUUUGCUUUAUCUUCAAUAACUGUUUUAGCUUGACUUCCUAUUAUUUCUAGUAAUUUUCUACCAAUAGUUUUAAUAGCUUCGGUGAAGAUAUUUCCACCAUAGUAUUUCUUAUUACUGACAAACAAUCUAUGCUUAUUAUAAAUCAUUUAUUUAUGUUAAAAUUAUGAGAUCAAUCUAAAAUUAAACGAUAGACAACUCUCUGUUUGUUCAAAUCAAUCAAAUUAUCAUCUUGAUCAGUUAUUCUCAUUCUAAUUCUGUAGAUGUAAUGGUUUCUGUUUAUAUCUGCAAAUAUAGGAUUUAUUUCAUCAAUUUUUAUUAAACUACCAGGAGGGUGAGAUGGUGUAAAAGAAUAGAGAAUAUCACUUGUAUAAUCAUUGUAUUCUACACCACUUAUUACAUCGCAAUGGAUAUGAAUAUCAUCAACUCCUUUUGAUAUGUUUGCUAUGUAUUUUCCAGUCUGUUCUUUUUGAUCAUAUAUUUUUGGUUCAAAUCCUAAAAUUUCAUAAAGUUUUCCUUCAUUCAGAUCAAUCUUAUAACCAUUUUCUAAAUGAAUUGUAAAUCUACUGGUUGCAAAAUGAAUUCCAAACUUAAUCGGUGGUUCAUUCACUCCAAAAAAUUUUAUCAAAAAAUUGUUUAAUUCUCUUAGAGUAUAAUUUCCAUUUUCUAUUGUAACUGUGUGCCAGUUGUUCUUAUCGAAAUAUUUAAAUUUAUUGUUGUUAAAUUUUCCAUCAAUAUUAUUCCACGAAACCCACAUUGACAUGGAUUUCAGAGCAAGUUUUGAUUUAUCCACAGGAAUGGGGUUUUUGAAUUCAAUUGUAAAAUCCUCUGAUUUUUCAGAGUUUUUCGAAUCUAAAACAAUUAGUCUCAUUUAUAUAAGACAAAAUUCUCAUUAUGAUUGCUAGGCUCUUGUGUGAAUGAAUACAAAACCUGAACUGGUGAUUUACCUUUGUUUCUCUCUACUAUAUAUUUCAUACAAUAAUAACCACAUCUCACGGAUGUAGGAUUUUGUAGGAAACUGGAAUUAUACCUUAUUUCUUUAUUGG
This 2311-nucleotide long non-coding RNA is filed under the name Androctonus crassicauda. Lineage: Eukaryota; Metazoa; Arthropoda; Arachnida; Scorpiones; Buthidae. The record is from RNAcentral.